RNAcentral lists this ribosomal RNA (442 nucleotides) under uncultured bacterium. RNAcentral's name for it is "partial 16S ribosomal RNA". It matches the Rfam family "Bacterial small subunit ribosomal RNA", at positions 338 to 795 of the family's 1533-position model. The record is from RNAcentral.
CCUACGGGUGGCAGCAGUGGGGAAUAUUGGGCAAUGGGCGCAAGCCUGACCCAGCAACGCCGCGUGAAGGAAGAAGGCUUUCGGGUUGUAAACUUCUUUUGUCAGGGAAGAGUAGAAGACGGUACCUGACGAAUAAGCCACGGCUAACUACGUGCCAGCAGCCGCGGUAAUACGUAGGUGGCAAGCGUUGUCCGGAUUUACUGGGUGUAAAGGGCGUGUAGCCGGGUUGACAAGUCAGAUGUGAAAUCCUGCGGCUUAACCGCAGAACUGCAUUUGAAACUGUUGAUCUUGAGUACUGGAGAGGAAGAUGGAAUGCCGAGGGUAGCGGUGAAAUGCGUAGAUAGUAGGAGGAACACCAGUGGCGAAGGCGGUCUGCUGGACAGCAACUGAGGGUGAGGCGCGAAAGCGGGGGGAGCAAACAGGAUUAGAUACCCUAGUAGUC